Molecule: transfer RNA, 73 nt
Filed under: Canis lupus familiaris (dog)
Lineage: Eukaryota; Metazoa; Chordata; Mammalia; Carnivora; Canidae
Also listed under: 2 other names
Rfam family: tRNA
About the family: Transfer RNA (tRNA) molecules are approximately 80 nucleotides in length.
Source: Rfam by way of RNAcentral
ACCUGGCUGGCUCAGUUGGUAGAGCAUGUGACUCUUGAUCUUGGGGUUGUGGGUUCAAGCCCCACACUGGGUA